UACGUAGGCAGCAAGCGUUGUUCGGAGUUACUGGGCGUAAAGGGUGCGUAGGCGGUCCUAUAAGUAUGGUGUGAAAUCUCCCGGCUUAACUGGGAGGGUGCGCUAUAGACUGUGGGACUAGAGUGUGGGAGAGGAAAGUGGAAUUCCCGGUGUAGCGGUGAAAUGCGUAGAUAUCAGGAGGAACACCGGUGGUGUAAACGGCUUUCUGGACCAUAACUGACGCUGAGGCACGAAAGCGUGGGUAGCAAACAGG
This 253-nucleotide ribosomal RNA is filed under the name uncultured bacterium. Its description in RNAcentral is "partial 16S ribosomal RNA". It matches the Rfam family "Bacterial small subunit ribosomal RNA", at positions 524 to 776 of the family's 1533-position model. The record is from RNAcentral.